AAGUCGUAACAAGGUUUCCGUAGGUGAACCUGCGGAAGGAUCAUUAACACUUUUCUUUAAUAACUAUUAUCAUACCAAUGCGCAUCGGAGAGCCUUCACUUUGCGGGGGUCGACUAGGAAAUGGUUGGAAUGCGUCCUAGCCUGCUGUUGAAGUUAGCCCGCUGAACCACUCGAUGGAACGGCGACCGGUCUAACGCCCCGACUUAGGGAGGUAUACAGUCUCGACCAUGGCUGGACCCACUCUUUUUUUUCUCUUUACCUUUGAUUUUUGUACUGAUUUGGGCUAUGGAUGGAGAGGAGUCAAAUCCUUUCUCUAUGGCUGUUGAUCGACGGUCUCGACUGUUCGACUCAAUCAAAAACCAAAACACAACUCUUAACAGCGGAUAUCUCGGUUCUCGUAACGAUGAAGAACGCAGU
This 417-nucleotide unclassified non-coding RNA is filed under the name fungal sp. RNAcentral's name for it is "partial internal transcribed spacer region". The stretch from base 1 to 46 matches the Rfam family "Eukaryotic small subunit ribosomal RNA", at positions 1786 to 1831 of the family's 1831-position model. Lineage: Eukaryota; Fungi. The record is from RNAcentral.